Manis javanica (Malayan pangolin) is the source of this 2548-nucleotide non-coding RNA. NCBI's taxonomy places the organism in Eukaryota, Metazoa, Chordata, Mammalia, Pholidota, Manidae. The record is from RefSeq and is a predicted model, not a curated record.
UUAGCUCUAUCCAUGUUGUUGCAAACGGUAGGAUUUAUUUUUUUCUUAUGGCUGAAUAAUAUUCCAUUGUGUAUAUGUACCACAUCUUUAUCCAUUCAUCUACUGAUGGACAGAAGAAACAACUUUGUUAAUGGCAUAAAUACCCUUAUUAUUAGGUGUAAUUAUCAGGUGUUUUCCUGAAAUAUUGUUUGGGAACUUAUAAAUGAUAGUCAAUUUCUUAGCUCUCAAAAAAUUUUUUCUUUGAAUUGGUUUAGUAAACGGGAAUGCAACUUGGCAUUGAAUCAUGUGAUUCUUCCUAGAAUGCCUAUUUUGAAAAAUGUUAAAGGUCAUUUAACUUCGAAUUUUUAAUUGAUAGUUCUUUGAACUUUAUCUUAAACCUGUCCAGACCAAAUCGAAGAAAACCUUAGCCAAACCCAGUAUAAGGAAUAUUGUGGUGGUGGAUGGCAUUCGCAUUCCAUUUUUACUAUCAGGCACUUCGUAAGUAUGGAAUGAUUGUGUCCUCACUCCCUCCCUCCCUCCCUCCGUUCCUCCUUCCUUCCUUCCUUCCUCCCCCGGCCCUUUCCCCCCCGGCUUUUAGUAAGUAUGAUUGAUAUAUAAAAACUUGUACAUAUUUAGAUUGUACAAUGUGAUUUCCUUUAAAGGUAUGCAAUGUGAGGAUUUAAUAUGUAUAUACAUGGUGAAGUGAUUACCAUGAUUGAGUUAAUGAGCAUAUCCAUCACCCUACAUAGUUUAUUUACUCCUUUUAAGGCACUUUUGAAAGUGGUCUUUGUGUAACCCAGUAGGUAAUACUGUUAGUAGACUAAUAUAUGGAUAACAUUUUCAUGAAAUGAAUAGAGUAAGUCAAAUAAUAUGAUAACGUUUGUUUUUCAUCCUUUUUCAUGAGCAAGCCUAGUGUAAUGUUAGAUUGAACCAGCCCUGUUUUGAAAACCUAGUGUGGCUCUGGGUAGUGUAGUUCCAACAGGGAUAUCCUUUCCUUGUCUUGAGAUAAAUACAUUGUUUCUGGGCCUCUUCUGAAGUCUGAAUGCAGUGCCCAUGGUUAUUGUGAAGGGCGUAUAAUCCACUGCUUUUGCCUUCUGGAAAGUAGUGGAAUUGGAUUUGAUGGACUGAUCCAAACCUUGGCACAGUACAACGCCAAGUGUGUGCAUUCAGAAUGAUCCUAGACCUGCACAGAAAUUCCCUAGAAUCAAACUGCAGUUCUUAGACUUUUCUGCUACUUUUUGUCCCCAAGUAAGGCCCAGUCUCUCCAAAAGCUGAUAAUGGACUUUGGUAAUUAGGUUCAAACUCAAUGAAAUACUAGUUCUCUUCUGUUUAGAUUGUUUUGGUGUUUAUAUUUUGAACAAGUCAUUAACCUAAAAAUAUACUGGAGAAAUGUUUGGUAUCUGCUAGAAAUAAUGAGACCUGUCUUUACAUACGAAUAUGGAAAGAUCUAGAAGAUAUGUUAAGUAUAAAAAGCAAAGUGCAGAGCAGUGUGUAAAAUGCCAUCAUUUUUGAACAAUGUGUAUGUGUGUGUGUAUACAAAUGUACAGAAAUAAUAAAUGUUUAUUUUUAAACAGAUGGUUUAAGGCUUGCAGAGUAUUUUCUUAUGGAAAUAAUGCUGUAAAUAAAUGGUAGUGAAGUUUCUUCAUUCACCUUCUUUUCUGAAUACGGUGUAACCCAUUUCUUUCUGUAAUCUCUUUCCUAUACUGACGCUUCAGCAGUAAGAGUAAGAAUCUGAAUCUUUAGCAGCAGGAGAGUGAGGACAGAGGAUCCUCCUUGUACUUAGCAGCUGCACAGUAGGAAGAGAAACUUCCAUGAAGUACGCUACCUUCCUUUUGUCUAGGAGGAUGGAUCUGUUGCCGGCCCCUCAAAGAUCUGUGCUGAACAACUGGAUGGAUCACUGUCUCUGGGCCACCCGUUUGGAGCCACUGGCUGUCGGCUGGUCAUGGCAGCUGCCAACAGGUUACGGAAGGAAGGAGGCCAAUAUGGCUUAGUGGCUGCCUGUGCAGCUGGAGGGCAGGGCCAUGCUAUGAUAGUAGAAGCUUAUCCAAAAUAAUAGAUCAAGAAGAGGCAACCUGAAUUUCUGUGUAACAUUCACGCUAGGCAAUGCCAUUUCGGUGCAAUACUAAAGGAGAUCUAUAGUUUCUAGCUCCUCUGAGGAAAACAAAUUUAUGGCCUUCUGGUAAACACUCUGCAGUAGCUUUGCUGGUGUUCUGAACUUUCCAAUAAUCACAGCUUACUGCUUUCAGGGAUUUCUUAGUCACUGGAAUCUCACCCAGUGAUACGCUGAAGCAAUCGCUUUUGGUCUCUCUCUUCAUUAAAGGCUUAGUGAGUGGUUGCAGCUUGGGAAAGAAGUUAAUUAGAUUUGGAAUCAUCUUUGUAACAUUUGCAAAUUAUGCUCAUUCCUAUUUAUUACCUAAAGAUAAGUGUUUUCUAGAAAAUGCACACCAGUGUGCCUACAUGAACUUAAGUAUCGAAAGAUAAUUUAGAAUCUAAACGUCACCGAAAACUUAACAGUAAAUGUUUAGAUACAUAAAUACCAUGUUUGUUAACCUUAAUAAAGUGGAAAAGU